UACGAAGGGGGCUAGCGUUGCUCGGAAUUACUGGGCGUAAAGCGCACGUAGGCGGAUUGUUAAGUCGGGGGUGAAAUCCUGGAGCUCAACUCCAGAACUGCCUUCGAUACUGGCGAUCUCGAGUUCGGGAGAGGUGAGUGGAACUGCGAGUGUAGAGGUGAAAUUCGUAGAUAUUCGCAAGAACACCAGUGGCGAAGGCGGCCAACUGGACCAUUACUGACGCUGAGGCGCGAAAGCGUGGGGAGCAAACAGG
Molecule: ribosomal RNA, 253 nt
Filed under: uncultured bacterium
Lineage: Bacteria
Description: partial 16S ribosomal RNA
Rfam family: Bacterial small subunit ribosomal RNA
Source: RNAcentral